AGGAUGAACGCUAGCGGUGUGCCUAAUGCAUGCAAGUCGAACGGGAACCUUUGGAUUCGUCUGAAGGGGAGAGUGGCGGACGGGUGAGUAACGCGUUGGUGACCUGCCCCAGAGAGGGGGACAACCAUUGGAAACGAUGGCUAAUACCCCAGAUGUCAUUGUGUUUAGAAAGCAAUGACUAAAGCUCCGGCGCUCUGGGAGGGGCCUGCGUCCCAUCAGCUAGUUGGUAAGGUAAUGGCUUACCAAGGCAUAGACGGGUAGGGGGCGUGAGAGCGUGACCCCCCACACUGGUACUGAAACACGGACCAGAUACCUACGGGUAGCAGCAGCAAGGAAUAUUGCCCAAUGGACGAAAGUCUGAGGCAGCAACACCGCGUGGAGGACGAAGGCCUUCGGGUUGUAAACUCCUUUUCUGGGGGAAGAGAAAGGACGGUACCCCAGGAAUAAGGCCCGGCCAACUACGUGCCAGCAGCCGCGGUAAAACGUAGGGGUCGAGCGUUAUCCGGAUUUACUGGGCGUAAAGAGCAUGUAGGCGGUUGCUUAAGUCGGACGUGAAAGCUCCUGGCUCAACUAGGAGAGGCCGUUCGAAACUAGGUAACUCGAGGAUGGUAGAGGAGAGUGGAAUUCCCGGUGUAGUGGUGAAAUGCGUAGAUAUCGGGAGGAACACCAGUGGCGAAGGCGGCUCUCUGGGCCAUUCCUGACGCUGAGAUGCGAAAGCUAGGGGAGAGAACGGGAUUAGAAACCCCGGUAUUCCUAGCCGUAAACGAUGUCAACUAGGUGUAGGAGGUAUUGACCCCUCCUGUGCUGCAGCAAACGCGUUAAGUUGACCGCCUGGGGACUACGGCCGCAAGGCUA
This 855-nucleotide ribosomal RNA is filed under the name uncultured bacterium. RNAcentral's name for it is "bacterial SSU rRNA". It matches the Rfam family "Bacterial small subunit ribosomal RNA", at positions 26 to 896 of the family's 1533-position model. The record is from RNAcentral.